This 460-nucleotide ribosomal RNA is filed under the name uncultured bacterium. RNAcentral describes it as "partial 16S ribosomal RNA". It matches the Rfam family "Bacterial small subunit ribosomal RNA", at positions 338 to 795 of the family's 1533-position model. The record is from RNAcentral.
CCUACGGGAGGCAGCAGUGAGGAAUAUUGGUCAAUGGCCGGAAGGCUGAACCAGCCAUGCCGCGUGAAGGUCAGUGCCCUAUGGGCGUUAAACUUCUUUUGUGCGGGAGCAAUAAUGGUCACGUGUGGCCAGACGAGAGUACCGGACGAAUAAGCAUCGGCUAACUCCGUGCCAGCAGCCUAGGUAAUACGGGGGAGGCAAGCGUUAUCAGGAUUUAUUGGGUUUAAAGGGUGCGUAGGCUGUGAGGUAAGUCAUCGGUGAAAUGCCACCGCUCAACGGGGUGAAGUGCCAUUGAUACUGCCUUUCUGGAUUGCGUAUGCCGUGUGAGGAAUGUGUGGUGUAGCAGUGAAAUGCAUAGAUAUCACACAGAACACCGAGUGCGAAGGCAUCUCACGAAUCCGCGAUUGACGCUGAUGCACGAAAGCGUGGGUAUCAAACAGGAUUAGAUACCACUGUAGUC